UUACUUUCCUAGACGAAUCCAAGGUUGAUCAGGGACCAUUGCCUAGGAUGGUGACCUCCAUUGCACUUGGGAGGUGCACCUGCCAACAUCCCCCCAAGCAGGAGAGUGUACGGCAUAAUUUGUGUUAGUGGGGCCUGCGUGCGCCCAGCCCUCCU
Molecule: small nuclear RNA, 155 nt
Organism: Vitis riparia (riverbank grape)
Lineage: Eukaryota; Viridiplantae; Streptophyta; Magnoliopsida; Vitales; Vitaceae
Product: U1 spliceosomal RNA
Exons: 1
Source: RefSeq, a predicted model, not a curated record